Molecule: long non-coding RNA, 611 nt
Filed under: Salmo salar (Atlantic salmon)
Lineage: Eukaryota; Metazoa; Chordata; Actinopteri; Salmoniformes; Salmonidae
Description: lncRNA (ENSSSAG00000088166.1, ENSSSAG00000116856.1)
Source: RNAcentral
UCAACAUCUUACUUUCAAAAUCUUAGCUUGCGGUCAUCAUCAUGAAUCAAUUCGACAAUCUACUUGCAAAUCCUUUUUAAUACUUGUCAUAUGAAGAGAAACAAUGAAGAUAAACUAUAGAUAAAAUGUAUCAGUGCUCAUCGGCCAUUGGACAUAAACAUUACAAAACUAUUGGAAAUCGCAAAUUCAACGAUGAGUGGUUUGGAAGGAAUCGGUUACAGUGGCUAACUGCAAGCACUGUAACUGGGACGUCGGGAAUAAACGAGCUCAGACUGGGAAAAUAUGUUUUAAACGGUCAUCCAAAUCCAACUAGGAAUUGUAAAUCCGUCCUCUUUCUCUUUCCUUGAUGACAAAAUGUGACCACAAAGGACUGCCGCGCCACCUUCCUGUUCAAGUGAGCACAUCACAACAAGGCGGCGAAUCGCAUCUCUGCAUGUCUGUCAGACAUAUCAGUGUGGAUGACGGAUCAACACCUCAAGCUGAACCUCGGCAAGACGGAGCUGCUCUUCCUCCCGGGGAAGGACUGCCCGUUCCAUGAUCUCGCCAUCACGGUUGACAACUCCCUUGUGUCCUCCUCCCAGAGUGCUAAGAACCUUGGCGUGAUCCUGGAC